CUCCUCUCUAAAUGCAUUAGCAGAGUCUUUCGAGAUGCUGCCUCGGUGUGAUAAUUGUCUACACUGUGUGUAUGCGUCUUGCUUGUUGCUACCCCGCUUGAACAAGGCGGUUGUGUGGCUGGGACAAAGCUUCUAACCGUCUGCAAAGACAACAUCUGACAUCUGACCUCAAAUCAGGUAGGAUUACCCGCUGAACUUAA
Molecule: unclassified non-coding RNA, 200 nt
Filed under: soil metagenome
Description: partial contains internal transcribed spacer 2 and large subunit ribosomal RNA
Source: RNAcentral